Molecule: ribosomal RNA, 258 nt
Filed under: uncultured bacterium
Lineage: Bacteria
Description: partial 16S ribosomal RNA
Rfam family: Bacterial small subunit ribosomal RNA
Source: RNAcentral
GUCCACGCCUUAAACGAUGGAUGUUCGGUGUCGGUCCGCAAGGAUCGGUGCCUGAGCUAACGCGUUAAACAUCCCACCUGGGGAGUACGAUCGCAAGGUUGAAACUCAAAGGAAUUGACGGGGCCGCACAAGCAGUGGAGCAUGUGGUUCAAUUCGAUGCAACGCGAAGAACCUUACCUGGGUUUGAAAGGCAGUGACCGUCGAUGAAAGUCGAUCUGGUAGCAAUACCCACUUGUACAGGUGCUGCAUGGCUGUCGU